UACGAGGGAUGCAAGCGUUAUCCGGAAUUAUUGGGCGUAAAGAGUUUGUAGGCGGUCAAGUGUGUUUAAUGUUAAAUGUUAAAGCUUAACUUUGAAACUGCGUUAAAAACUGCUUGUCUUGAGUAUGGUAGGGGUAAAGGGAAUUCCCAGUGUAGCGGUGAAAUGCGUAGAUAUUGGGAAGAACACUAAACAGCGAAGGCACUUUACUAGGCUAAUACUGACGCUGAGAAACGAAAGGUAAGGUAGCGAAACGG
RNAcentral lists this ribosomal RNA (254 nucleotides) under uncultured bacterium. RNAcentral's name for it is "partial 16S ribosomal RNA". It matches the Rfam family "Bacterial small subunit ribosomal RNA", at positions 524 to 776 of the family's 1533-position model. The record is from RNAcentral.